UCUAUGGUGUGGGGGACUCUGUCUUCCCACUGGGGUUCUAUGUCUUUACACACACACACAGUGAUAAAGUCUCAUGGAAUGUACAUCGCGUUUAACGCAAUACAAUACAACUUUCAGCAACGGAUCUCUUGGCUCUCGCAUCGAUGAAGAACGCAGCGAAAUGCGAUAAGUAAUGUGAAUUGCAGAAUUCAGUGAAUCAUCGAAUCUUUGAACGCACCUUGCGCCCUUUGGCUAUUCCGAAGGGCAUGCCUGUUUGAGUAUCAUGAACACCUCAACUCUCAUGGUUCGCCAUGACGAGCUUGGACUUUGGGGGUCUUGCUGGCCUAUGGUCAGCUCCUCUAAAAUGAAUCAGCUUGCCAGUGUUUGGUGGCAUCACAGGUGUGAUAACUAUCUACGCUUGUGAAUUUCCACCAGAUAACCUUCAGCAAUGAAGGUUCACCGGGGCUCAUAAAUGUCUCUCCUCAGCGGAGACGGCUCUUUUGAAUGUUUGAUCUCAAAUCAGGUAGGACUACCCGCUGAACUUA
This 524-nucleotide ribosomal RNA is filed under the name uncultured Thelephoraceae. Its description in RNAcentral is "eukaryotic LSU rRNA". The stretch from base 109 to 263 matches the Rfam family "5.8S ribosomal RNA". Lineage: Eukaryota; Fungi; Basidiomycota; Agaricomycetes; Thelephorales; Thelephoraceae. The record is from RNAcentral.